RNAcentral lists this ribosomal RNA (114 nucleotides) under Erysiphe paeoniae. RNAcentral's name for it is "partial 18S ribosomal RNA". It matches the Rfam family "Eukaryotic small subunit ribosomal RNA", at positions 1720 to 1831 of the family's 1831-position model. The record is from RNAcentral. Lineage: Eukaryota; Fungi; Ascomycota; Leotiomycetes; Helotiales; Erysiphaceae.
CUUUCCUUUCCUGCCGUCUUGCUCGCGGUUACCUUGUUACGACUUUUACUUCCUUCUUUUUGGAAGUAAAGUCGUAACAAGGUUUCCGUAGGUGAACCUGCGGAAGGAUCAUUA